This 500-nucleotide ribosomal RNA is filed under the name uncultured bacterium. RNAcentral's name for it is "partial 16S ribosomal RNA". It matches the Rfam family "Bacterial small subunit ribosomal RNA", at positions 30 to 523 of the family's 1533-position model. The record is from RNAcentral.
AUUGAACGCUGGCGGCAUGCCUUACACAUGCAAGUCGAACGGCAGCACGGGAGCAAUCCUGGUGGCGAGUGGCGAACGGGUGAGUAAAAUAUCGGAACGUGCCCAGUCGUGGGGGAUAACGUAGCGAAAGUUACGCUAAUACCGCAUACGAUCUAUGGAUGAAAGCGGGGGAUCGCAAGACCUCGCGCGAUUGGAGCGGCCGAUAUCAGAUUAGGUAGUUGGUGGGGUAAAGGCUCACCAAGCCGACGAUCUGUAGCUGGUCUGAGAGGACGACCAGCCACACUGGGACUGAGACACGGCCCAGACUCCUACGGGAGGCAGCAGUGGGGAAUUUUGGACAAUGGGCGAAAGCCUGAUCCAGCCAUGCCGCGUGCAGGAUGAAGGCCUUCGGGUUGUAAACUGCUUUUGUACGGAACGAAAAGGUUUGGUCUAAUAAGCUGAGCUCAUGACGGUACCGUAAGAAUAAGCACCGGCUAACUACGUGCCAGCAGCCGCAGUAA